GCCAGGCUCAGUCCUCCGCCGUGCGGCCUCCGGUGCCUCAGUCUCCCCCUCUGCCGUAUGGGGAUGAUAAUAGAGCGAUUCAGAGCCAAGGGCCCGAGCACCUCUGCAGACAGCCUUGGAGGAGGCGGCGAACUGUCCCUCAGACCCUGAGUGCGUCUUUCCCGGACCCAGACCAGGCGGCAGCAGAGGCAGCCGGUGGCAUCCCGCGAGUCCUCCGCAGGGGACAGCCGUGCAGGGCGGUGGCUGCAUGCUGGCCCCUGAACAGCCGUCUCAGAUGUCUGUGAAAUACAUUUUGGGUGGAUUGAAGAUUUUGGAAACCGCAGGACCAGGGGGUCUUGAAUAUUCCCCCCGAGUCUGGCUGGAGCUCAAACGAGGACUCUCCACUGACCAGACCGCGGACGCCACCAGGGCGGAGAGCUGGCGGCCUCCCGGCUGGCAGCCCCGUGCCCACGCGUGUCACGGGAGCACACAGGAUUGGGAAGAACGCAGCCCCGCUCCAGGGAGCCAACGUCAGCCUGGGAAAUGUGCAGCCUCAGCGUGCCUGGCAGCAGAGCAGCGUCACACACUCGCCGUGAUUGCGAACAUGUGGCCGCUUCCCUUUGCGAGAAAUAACAA
This is a long non-coding RNA of Lemur catta (Ring-tailed lemur), 615 nucleotides long. RefSeq lists it as uncharacterized. NCBI's taxonomy places the organism in Eukaryota, Metazoa, Chordata, Mammalia, Primates, Lemuridae. The transcript is spliced from 3 exons. The record is from RefSeq and is a predicted model, not a curated record.